This 774-nucleotide ribosomal RNA is filed under the name uncultured Alphaproteobacteria bacterium. Its description in RNAcentral is "bacterial SSU rRNA". It matches the Rfam family "Bacterial small subunit ribosomal RNA", at positions 60 to 878 of the family's 1533-position model. The record is from RNAcentral. Lineage: Bacteria; Pseudomonadati; Pseudomonadota; Alphaproteobacteria.
AGUCGAGCGAGAUCUUCGGAUCUAGCGGCGGACGGGUGAGUAACGCGUGGGAACGUACCCUUUUCUACGGAAUAGCCUCGGGAAACUGAGAGUAAUACCGUAUACGCCCUUCGGGGGAAAGAUUUAUCGGAGAAGGAUCGGCCCGCGUUGGAUUAGGUAGUUGGUGGGGUAAUGGCCUACCAAGCCGACGAUCCAUAGCUGGUUUGAGAGGAUGAUCAGCCACACUGGGACUGAGACACGGCCCAGACUCCUACGGGAGGCAGCAGUGGGGAAUCUUAGACAAUGGGCGCAAGCCUGAUCUAGCCAUGCCGCGUGAGCGAUGAAGGCCUUAGGGUUGUAAAGCUCUUUCAGUGGGGAAGAUAAUGACGGUACCCACAGAAGAAGCCCCGGCUAACUCCGUGCCAGCAGCCGCGGUAAUACGGAGGGGGCUAGCGUUGUUCGGAAUUACUGGGCGUAAAGCGCGCGUAGGCGGAUUGGAAAGUUGGAGGUGAAAUCCCAGGGCUCAACCUUGGAACUGCCUUCAAAACUUCCAGUCUGGAGUUCGAGAGAGGUGAGUGGAAUUCCCAGUGUAGAGGUGAAAUUCGUAGAUAUUCGGAAGAACACCAGUGGCGAAGGCGGCUCACUGGCUCGAUACUGACGCUGAGGGGCGAAAGCGUGGGGAGCAAACAGGAUUAAAUACCCUGGGAGUCCCCGCCCCAAAACAAUGAAUGCCAAAACUUCGGGAAGCAUGCUUGUCGGGGGCCCCCCCCCACGGAAUAAAAAUUCCCCCCGGGG